RNAcentral lists this ribosomal RNA (570 nucleotides) under Triticum aestivum (bread wheat). Its description in RNAcentral is "partial small subunit ribosomal RNA". Lineage: Eukaryota; Viridiplantae; Streptophyta; Magnoliopsida; Poales; Poaceae. The record is from RNAcentral.
AUGGUCAAAAUACCUUACAGGAUGAUGUUGGAUAUUCUUUUAGAGACUCUGGGCCUUCCACCAGCUGAGUACCGAACCAGAGUAUAUGAUGGCAGCAGGGUGUGUGUGACAGUAUUGUUCCAUACACCCACAUCAUAUGUUGGGAAUGAUAGGAAUCGAAUGGCUAUUCCUAGGGUACAAUCUGUUGAUCAUUCUAUGUCAGAAGACAGUGCUGCUAUGGAAGCAAUUGGGUACAUUAAAUGCACAGUGAAGACAGAGAUAAGAGACUAUAAUUACAGCACCAUGAAGAAACUCGAGGAGGAAAAUCGGUCUCUAAAACAUGAGCUUAAUAUGGCUAGGUACAACAAGAAGAAAAUGAAGACAAAAAUCAGAUCCAUCAAGAACAAGCUAAUGAUUGCUACAUAUGAGAAGAAGCAAAACGCUAUGGGCUGGUUCGUCUUAACAAGGUACAUGCAUGGAUUAUCUGAUCAUAUAUCCAACGUAACGGCGUUGAAUAUGUCACCUGGGGAAGGACCUGUAGAUAAGAUUAUCAAUGACCCUCUUAUCAACAUAGAGAAGGUGGCAAGCUAG